This 253-nucleotide ribosomal RNA is filed under the name uncultured bacterium. RNAcentral's name for it is "partial 16S ribosomal RNA". It matches the Rfam family "Bacterial small subunit ribosomal RNA", at positions 524 to 776 of the family's 1533-position model. The record is from RNAcentral.
UACGUAGGGGGCAAGCGUUGUCCGGAAUCAUUGGGCGUAAAGCGCGUGUAGGCGGCUUGGUAAGUCCGCUCUGAAAGCCCGGGGCUCAACCCCGGGAGGCGGGUGGAUACUGUCAAGCUCGAGUCCGGAAGAGGCGAGUGGAAUUCCUGGUGUAGCGGUGAAAUGCGUAGAUAUCUGGAGGAACACCGGUGGCGAAGGCGGCAUCCUGGACCGGCAUUGACGCUGAGGCGCGAAAGCCAGGGGAGCAAACGGG